RNAcentral lists this ribosomal RNA (440 nucleotides) under uncultured Allobrachymonas sp. Its description in RNAcentral is "bacterial SSU rRNA". It matches the Rfam family "Bacterial small subunit ribosomal RNA", at positions 936 to 1382 of the family's 1533-position model. The record is from RNAcentral. Lineage: Bacteria; Pseudomonadati; Pseudomonadota; Betaproteobacteria; Burkholderiales; Comamonadaceae.
AUGAUGUGGUUUAAUUCGAUGCAACGCGAAAACCUUACCCACCUUUGACAUGGCAGGAAUCCUAAGAGAUUUGGGAGUGCUCGAAAGAGAACCUGCACACAGGUGCUGCAUGGCUGUCGUCAGCUCGUGUCGUGAGAUGUUGGGUUAAGUCCCGCAACGAGCGCAACCCUUGCCAUUAGUUGCUACGAAAGGGCACUCUAAUGGGACUGCCGGUGACAACCCGGAGGAAGGUGGGGAUGACGUCAAGUCCUCAUGGCCCUUAUAGGUGGGGCUACACACGUCAUACAAUGGCCGGUACAGAGGGUAGCCAACCCGCGAGGGGGAGCCAAUCCCACAAAGCCGGUCGUAGUCCGGAUCGCAGUCUGCAACUCGACUGCGUGAAGUCGGAAUCGCUAGUAAUCGCGGAUCAGCAUGUCGCGGUGAAUACGUUCCCGGGUCUU